UCGAGGAUCUUCGGCAAUGGGCGCAAGCCUGACCGAGCGACGCCGCGUGCGCGAUGAAGGCCUUCGGGUUGUAAAGCGCUGUCGAGGGGGAGGAAAGCCCGCAAGGGUCUGACCUAUCCCUGGAGGAAGCACGGGCUAAGUUCGUGCCAGCAGCCGCGGUAAGACGAACCGUGCGAACGUUGUUCGGAUUCACUGGGCUUAAAGGGCGCGUAGGCGGAUCGUCAAGUCUGGGGUGAAAUCUUUCGGCUUAACCGGAAAACCGCCCGGGAUACUGACGGUCUUGAGGGAGGUAGGGGCAUGCGGAACUUCCGGUGGAGCGGUGAAAUGCGUAGAUAUCGGAAGGAACGCCGGUGGCGAAAGCGGCGUGCUGGACCUCUUCUGACGCUGAGGCGCGAAAGCCAGGGGAGCAAACGGGAUUAGAUACCCCCGUAGUCC
RNAcentral lists this ribosomal RNA (435 nucleotides) under uncultured bacterium. RNAcentral describes it as "bacterial SSU rRNA". It matches the Rfam family "Bacterial small subunit ribosomal RNA", at positions 355 to 796 of the family's 1533-position model. The record is from RNAcentral.